Molecule: ribosomal RNA, 369 nt
Filed under: uncultured eukaryote
Lineage: Eukaryota
Description: partial 18S ribosomal RNA
Rfam family: Eukaryotic small subunit ribosomal RNA
Source: RNAcentral
CAAUAGCGUAUAUUAAAGUUGUUGCAGUUAAAAAGCUCGUAGUUGGACCUUGGACCUGGACAGGCGGUCCGCCUCACGGCGAGUACUGUCUUGCUGGGUCUUUCCUCUUGGUGAUCUGUUGUUUCGGCAGCAGGGAACCAGGACCUUUACUUUGAAAAAAUUAGAGUGUUCAAAGCAGGCUCGACGCCGGAAUAUAUUAGCAUGGAAUAAUAAAAUAGGACGUGCGGUUCUAUUUUGUUGGUUUUUGGAAUCGCCGUAAUGAUUAAUAGGGACAGUCGGGGGCAUUAGUACUCACAUGCUAGAGGUGAAAUUCUUGGAUUUUGUGAAGACUAACUUCUGCGAAAGCAUUUGCCAAGGAUGUUUUCAUUA